Molecule: long non-coding RNA, 659 nt
Filed under: Homo sapiens (human)
Lineage: Eukaryota; Metazoa; Chordata; Mammalia; Primates; Hominidae
Description: HSALNT0144195
Source: RNAcentral
UUCUGCCUUCCCUCACAGAGAAAGAUUCACAUGUACCUGGCCAAACGAACAACUCCAUGUUUUCCAAAAGGCUUGGAGAACAUACCAGGUACCUCUCCUCUUUCCCUUUGUGUUUGUCAUUUUGGCGAAUUACUGGAAGAUGGUGGUUCCAGCUGAAAGGCUUUUUGGCAAUUUUUAACAGCUGAAAAUAAACCUUGAAAUAAACAUUUUCUCCUUUAACUGAUGUCUGGGAAGGAAGAAACAAAAAAAGAAAGAGAAGAAAGGAAAUAAGGAAGGAGGGAGGGAGAGAGUGAAGGAGGGAAGAAAAGAGAAUUAAACACGAUUAUCUACAUAUCAAUGGAAAAUUUCAAAUAUAUUCUAGCAUAAUUUUUUUCUACUUAGUAUCCAUUAAAAAAGGGAAUCAUUGUGGAAUGCUUAAAUCAAUCAAAUGAACACAGCCAUCCCUCGGAUACUUAUUUUUUUUUUUUUUUGUGGUGAGAACAUUUGAAAUUGAUUCUCUUAGUAGUUUCGAAAUGUGCCAUAUGUUAACUAUAGUCACUGUGCUGUGUAAUAGAUCUCAAAAAGUACUCCUCUGCAUCAUAUACAUAUAUCAUAACCUUGUAUUAUACCCCAUAAAUAUGUAUAAUUAUAAUCUGUCCGUUAAAAAUAAAAAUUAAGCU